Felis catus (domestic cat) is the source of this 664-nucleotide long non-coding RNA. RefSeq lists it as uncharacterized. The record is from RefSeq and is a predicted model, not a curated record. The transcript has 3 exons. Lineage: Eukaryota; Metazoa; Chordata; Mammalia; Carnivora; Felidae.
GAGGAAGCAGGGUCCCUGGUAGCAAAUCCCAGAUGCAUGUUCUAUAAACCAUGGAGGAAGAGUUCACCCAUCACAAAAAAGUCAGAUGAUCCUGGCAGACCUUUUUCUCUGCUGCCUUGGUGGUUGCAGCAAUUUCAAGGAUGAAGAAAGAGACACAGAGCAUCUAAGUCAAGGACUGAAGGGCCCUGGUGGGCCAUCUGCUGGGCAAGGCACCACGCUCACACGUAUGGAACCUCUCCUACCCAGAUUUCUUCCUAAGAGCUGCCAGAGGACAAAAGGUUGGAAACUGCAGUCCUGGCCUCUGCCUUUAUAGCUCCCUCGGGGCCACCCCGGCCUGCCCUUCCUGACCGACGCACAAGCAGCUGGAGAAGCUCGGGGGGCAAGGGAGAGCAAGACCGGCCCUGUCCCCUGGAUGGGUGGGGCUGGCCCAAGAAAUCCAUGUCUGAGCCCUGCUUCCCCAAGGAGGGGGUCCCCCAGAGCCUGUGUCCAAACCACACUGAUGGGCUGGCUGCUGCCAAGGGGCCAGUCCCGCUCUCCCAGCUUUCAAAAUUACCAUCCUUAAAAAAAAAAAAAAGAGGGGCGCCUGGGUGGCGCAGUCGGUUAAGCGUCCGACUUCAGCCAGGUCACGAUCUCACGGUCUGUGAGUUCGAGCCCCGCGCCGGGC